Molecule: ribosomal RNA, 628 nt
Filed under: fungal sp. APA-2013
Lineage: Eukaryota; Fungi
Description: eukaryotic LSU rRNA
Rfam family: 5.8S ribosomal RNA (bases 252-405)
Source: RNAcentral
UCUUGGUCAUUUAAGAGGAAGUAAAAGUCGUAACAAGGUCUCCGUUGGUGAACCAGCGGAGGGAUCAUUACCGAGUUUUCAACUCCCAAACCCUUUUGUGAACAUACCUAUCGUUGCUUCGGCGGACUCGCCCCAGCGUCCGGCCGGCCCCGCGCCGGCCGCGGCCUGGAUCCAGGCGGCCGCCGGAGACCCCCAAACUCUGUAUUCUCAGUAUCUUCUGAAUCCGCCGCAAGGCAAAACAAAUGAAUCAAAACUUUCAACAACGGAUCUCUUGGUUCUGGCAUCGAUGAAGAACGCAGCGAAAUGCGAUAAGUAAUGUGAAUUGCAGAAUUCAGUGAAUCAUCGAAUCUUUGAACGCACAUUGCGCCCGCCAGCAUUCUGGCGGGCAUGCCUGUUCGAGCGUCAUUUCAACCCUCGACUUCCCUUUGGGGAAAUCGGCGUUGGGGACCGGCCGUAUACCGCCGGCCCCGAAAUGAAGUGGCGGCCCGUCCGCGGCGACCUCUGCGUAGUAAUCCAACUCGCACCGGAACCCCGACGUGGCCACGCCGUAAAACCCCCGACUUCUGAACGUUGACCUCGGAUCAGGUAGGAAUACCCGCUGAACUUAAGCAUAUCAAUAAGCGGAGGA